UCUUGGUCAUUUAGAGGAAGUAAAAGUCGUAACAAGGUUUCCGUAGGUGAACCUGCGGAAGGAUCAUUACAGUGUCUUGGAGGCCGAUGUUCCGGCGCUUCCCCACGGGGGCGUCAGGGCUCGUGCCCCCUCCACACGUGUUUACUACACUCCGUUGCCUUGGUGGGUCUGCCCUUGUGGCUGCCGGGGAUCACCGCGUGUGUCCCAGGCCCGUACCCACCGAUGGACACCCUGAACUCUUUGUGAAUAUAGUGUUGUCUGAGCGUUUAGCAAAUUAAACAAAACUUUCAACAAUGGAUCUCUUGGUUCUGGCAUCGAUGAAGAACGCAGCGAAAUGCGAUAAGUAAUGUGAAUUGCAGAAUUCCGUGAAUCAUCGAAUCUUUGAACGCACAUUGCGCCCUCUGGUAUUCCGGGGGGCAUGCCUGUUCGAGCGUCAUUGCAACCCCUCAAGCACAGCUUGUGUGUUGGGCCAUUGUCCCCCGUGGACAGGCCUGAAAUGCAGUGGCAGCACCGAGAUACCGGUGUCUGAGUGUAUGGGCAUUGAUCAUCACUCGGUAGACCCGAUCGGCGCUGGACGUCAAACCCCGAUUCCUUGCGAAUCAUCCAGUAUUGACCUCGGAUCAGGUAGGAAUACCCGCUGAACUUAAGCAUAUCAAUAAGCGGAGGA
This 667-nucleotide ribosomal RNA is filed under the name uncultured Aphanoascus. RNAcentral's name for it is "eukaryotic LSU rRNA". The stretch from base 283 to 436 matches the Rfam family "5.8S ribosomal RNA". Lineage: Eukaryota; Fungi; Ascomycota; Eurotiomycetes; Onygenales; Onygenaceae. The record is from RNAcentral.